This 301-nucleotide ribosomal RNA is filed under the name uncultured bacterium. Its description in RNAcentral is "partial 16S ribosomal RNA". It matches the Rfam family "Bacterial small subunit ribosomal RNA", at positions 509 to 807 of the family's 1533-position model. The record is from RNAcentral.
CAGUAGCCGCGGUAAUACGCAGGGGGCUAGCGUUGCUCGGAAUUACUGGGCGUAAAGGGAGCGUAGGCGGGUCGUUUAGUCAGAGGUGAAAUCCCGGGGCUCAACCUCGGAACUGCCUUUGAUACUGGCGACCUUGAGUAUGGGAGAGGUAAGCGGAACUCCGAGUGUAGAGGUGAAAUUCGUAGAUAUUCGGAAGAACACCAGUGGCGAAGGCGGCUUACUGGCCCAUUACUGACGCUGAGGCUCGAAAGCGUGGGGAGCAAACAGGAUUAGAUACCCGAGUAGUCCCUGUCUCUUAUAC